UCCAGAUAGGCUCAAACCCUUCCCCCUAGCCUUCCAAGCUAACGAUGC
RNAcentral lists this transfer RNA (48 nucleotides) under Pinus albicaulis. RNAcentral's name for it is "partial tRNA-Gly". The record is from RNAcentral. Lineage: Eukaryota; Viridiplantae; Streptophyta; Pinopsida; Pinales; Pinaceae. RNAcentral also lists the same sequence under 1 other name.